This 1528-nucleotide ribosomal RNA is filed under the name Enterobacter sp. BIDMC 30. RNAcentral's name for it is "bacterial SSU rRNA". It matches the Rfam family "Bacterial small subunit ribosomal RNA". The record is from RNAcentral. Lineage: Bacteria; Pseudomonadati; Pseudomonadota; Gammaproteobacteria; Enterobacterales; Enterobacteriaceae.
AGAGUUUGAUCAUGGCUCAGAUUGAACGCUGGCGGCAGGCCUAACACAUGCAAGUCGAACGGUAGCACAGAGAGCUUGCUCUCGGGUGACGAGUGGCGGACGGGUGAGUAAUGUCUGGGAAACUGCCUGAUGGAGGGGGAUAACUACUGGAAACGGUAGCUAAUACCGCAUAACGUCGCAAGACCAAAGAGGGGGACCUUCGGGCCUCUUGCCAUCAGAUGUGCCCAGAUGGGAUUAGCUAGUAGGUGGGGUAACGGCUCACCUAGGCGACGAUCCCUAGCUGGUCUGAGAGGAUGACCAGCCACACUGGAACUGAGACACGGUCCAGACUCCUACGGGAGGCAGCAGUGGGGAAUAUUGCACAAUGGGCGCAAGCCUGAUGCAGCCAUGCCGCGUGUAUGAAGAAGGCCUUCGGGUUGUAAAGUACUUUCAGCGGGGAGGAAGGUGUUGCGGUUAAUAACCGCAGCAAUUGACGUUACCCGCAGAAGAAGCACCGGCUAACUCCGUGCCAGCAGCCGCGGUAAUACGGAGGGUGCAAGCGUUAAUCGGAAUUACUGGGCGUAAAGCGCACGCAGGCGGUCUGUCAAGUCGGAUGUGAAAUCCCCGGGCUCAACCUGGGAACUGCAUUCGAAACUGGCAGGCUAGAGUCUUGUAGAGGGGGGUAGAAUUCCAGGUGUAGCGGUGAAAUGCGUAGAGAUCUGGAGGAAUACCGGUGGCGAAGGCGGCCCCCUGGACAAAGACUGACGCUCAGGUGCGAAAGCGUGGGGAGCAAACAGGAUUAGAUACCCUGGUAGUCCACGCCGUAAACGAUGUCGACUUGGAGGUUGUGCCCUUGAGGCGUGGCUUCCGGAGCUAACGCGUUAAGUCGACCGCCUGGGGAGUACGGCCGCAAGGUUAAAACUCAAAUGAAUUGACGGGGGCCCGCACAAGCGGUGGAGCAUGUGGUUUAAUUCGAUGCAACGCGAAGAACCUUACCUACUCUUGACAUCCAGAGAACUUUCCAGAGAUGGAUUGGUGCCUUCGGGAACUCUGAGACAGGUGCUGCAUGGCUGUCGUCAGCUCGUGUUGUGAAAUGUUGGGUUAAGUCCCGCAACGAGCGCAACCCUUAUCCUUUGUUGCCAGCGGUCCGGCCGGGAACUCAAAGGAGACUGCCAGUGAUAAACUGGAGGAAGGUGGGGAUGACGUCAAGUCAUCAUGGCCCUUACGAGUAGGGCUACACACGUGCUACAAUGGCGCAUACAAAGAGAAGCGAACUCGCGAGAGCAAGCGGACCUCAUAAAGUGCGUCGUAGUCCGGAUUGGAGUCUGCAACUCGACUCCAUGAAGUCGGAAUCGCUAGUAAUCGUAGAUCAGAAUGCUACGGUGAAUACGUUCCCGGGCCUUGUACACACCGCCCGUCACACCAUGGGAGUGGGUUGCAAAAGAAGUAGGUAGCUUAACCUUCGGGAGGGCGCUUACCACUUUGUGAUUCAUGACUGGGGUGAAGUCGUAACAAGGUAACCGUAGGGGAACCUGCGGUUGGAUCACCU